UUUCGCAAUGCCCGAAAGGGUGACGAAGCGACGCCGCGUGGGUGAGGAAGGCCCUCGGGUUGUAAAGCCCUGUCAGGAGUUAAGAAAUGUAGAUUCGCUAAUAUCGGGUCUAUUUGACGAAGGCUCCAAAGGAAGCCACGACUAACUCUGUGCCAGCAGCCGCGGUAAUACAGAGGUGGCAAGCGUUGUUCGGAAUUAUUGGGCGUAAAGAGCACGUAGGUGGAUUUGUAAGUCAGAUGUGAAAGCCUUCUGUUCAACGGGAGAAUUGCAUCUGAAACUACAGACCUUGAGUAUAGGAGGGGAGAAUGGAACUUCUGGUGGAGCGGUGAAAUGCGUAGAUAUCAGAAGGAACGCCGGCGGCGAAAGCGAUUCUCUGGCCUAUUACUGACACUCAGUGUGCGAAAGCUAGGGGAGCAAACGGGAUUAGAUACCCCGGUAGUCCUAGCCGUAAACGAUGGGCACUAAGUAGAGGGGUUUUA
RNAcentral lists this ribosomal RNA (479 nucleotides) under uncultured bacterium. RNAcentral describes it as "bacterial SSU rRNA". It matches the Rfam family "Bacterial small subunit ribosomal RNA", at positions 364 to 833 of the family's 1533-position model. The record is from RNAcentral.